This 269-nucleotide ribosomal RNA is filed under the name uncultured Planctomycetales bacterium. RNAcentral describes it as "partial 16S ribosomal RNA". It matches the Rfam family "Bacterial small subunit ribosomal RNA", at positions 565 to 832 of the family's 1533-position model. The record is from RNAcentral. Lineage: Bacteria; Pseudomonadati; Planctomycetota; Planctomycetia; Planctomycetales.
GAGCACGUAGGUGGGUUUGUAAGUCAGAUGUGAAAGCCUCCUGUUCAACGGGAGAAUUGCAUCUGAAACUGUGAAUCUUGAGUGUAGGAGGGGAGAAUGGAACUUCUGGUGGAGCGGUGAAAUGCGUAGAUAUCAGAAGGAACGCCGGCGGCGAAAGCGAUUCUCUGGCCUAUUACUGACACUCAGUGUGCGAAAGCUAGGGGAGCAAACGGGAUUAGAUACCCCGGUAGUCCUAGCCGUAAACGAUGGGCACUAAGUAGAGGGGUUUU